CUACGGGAGGCACCAGUGAGGAAUAUUGGUCAAUGGGCGAGAGCCUGAACCAGCCAUCCCGCGUGCAGGAUGACGGCCCUAUGGGUUGUAAACUGCUUUUCUAUACCAAGAAACCUGAUUACGUGUAAUUAGUUGCCGGUAGUAUGGGAAUAAGCAUCGGCUAACUCCGUGCCAGCAGCCGCGGUAAGACGGAGGAUGCAAGCGUUAUCCGGAUUCAUUGGGUUUAAAGGGUGCGCAGGUGGGCUUGUAAGUCAGUGGUGAAAUGUUGCCGCUUAACGGUAAAAUUGCCAUUGAUACUGCAAGUCUUGAAUAUAGUUGAGGUAGGCGGAAUGUGUUGUGUAGCGGUGAAAUGCAUAGAUAUGACACAGAACACCGAUUGCGAAGGCAGCUUACUAAGCUAUUAUUGACGCUGAGGCACGAAAGCGUGGGGAUCGAACAGGAUUAGAUACCCUCGUAGUC
Molecule: ribosomal RNA, 459 nt
Filed under: uncultured bacterium
Lineage: Bacteria
Description: partial 16S ribosomal RNA
Rfam family: Bacterial small subunit ribosomal RNA
Source: RNAcentral